AUAUUGGACAAUGGGGGAAACCCUGAUCCAGCAAUGCCGCGUGAGUGAAGAAGGCCUUAGGGUUGUAAAGCUCUUUCGCCCGCGAAGAUAAUGACGGUAGCGGGAGAAGAAGCCCCCGCUAACUCCGUGCCAGCAGCCGCGGUAAUACGGAGGGGGCUAGCGUUGUUCGGAAUUACUGGGCGUAAAGCGUACGUAGGCGGAUGCGCAGGUUGGGGGUGAAAUCCCGGGGCUUAACCUCGGAAUUGCCCUCAAAACUGCACCUCUUGAUACCGAGAGGGGUAAGGGGAAUUCCUAGUGUAGAGGUGAAAUUCGUAGAUAUUAGGAAGAACACCAGUGGCGAAGGCGCCUUACUGGCUCGGUACUGACGCUGAGGUACGAAAGCGUGGGGAG
RNAcentral lists this ribosomal RNA (390 nucleotides) under uncultured bacterium. RNAcentral's name for it is "bacterial SSU rRNA". It matches the Rfam family "Bacterial small subunit ribosomal RNA", at positions 361 to 768 of the family's 1533-position model. The record is from RNAcentral.